This 254-nucleotide ribosomal RNA is filed under the name uncultured bacterium. Its description in RNAcentral is "partial 16S ribosomal RNA". It matches the Rfam family "Bacterial small subunit ribosomal RNA", at positions 524 to 776 of the family's 1533-position model. The record is from RNAcentral.
UACGUAGGUGGCAAGCGUUGUCCGGAAUUAUUGGGCGUAAAGAGCUCGUAGGCGGCUUAGUAAGUCGGGUGUGAAACCUCCAGGCUCAACCUGGAGACGCCACCCGAUACUGCUGUGGCUAGAGUCCGGUAGGGGAGCGUGGAAUUCCUGGUGUAGCGGUGAAAUGCGCAGAUAUCAGGAGGAACACCAGCGGCGAAGGCGGCGCUCUGGGCCGGUACUGACGCUGAGGAGCGAAAGCGUGGGGAGCAAACAGG